CCUACGGGAGGCAGCAGUGGGGAAUCUUGCGCAAUGGCCUAACGGCUGACGCAGCGACGCCGCGUGUGGGAUGAAGCUCUUCGGAGUGUAAACCACUGUUGCCCGGGACGAACAGCUCGAUUAAUCGAGCCUGACGGUACCGGGUGAGGAAGCACCGGCUAACUCCGUGCCAGCAGCCGCGGUAAUACGGGGGGUGCGAGCGUUGUCCGGAAUCACUGGGCGUAAAGGGCGCGUAGGUGGUUUGAUAAGGGUGUGGUGAAAGUCCGGGGCUCAACCCCGGAUCUGCCGUGCCGACUGUCAAACUCGAGGACUGUAGAGGCAGACGGAAUUCCGGGUGUAGCGGUGGAAUGCGUAGAGAUCCGGAGGAAGACCGGUGGCGAAGGCGGUCUGCUGGGCAGUUACUGACACUGAGGCGCGACAGCGUGGGGAGCAAACAGGAUUAGAUACCCUGGUAGUCCACGCCGUAAACGAUGGGUACUAGGUGCCUGGGGGAGCGACCCUCUGGGUGCCGGCGCUAACGCAGGAAGUACCCCGCCUGGGGAGUACGACCGCAAGGUUGAAACUCAAAGGAAUUGACGG
RNAcentral lists this ribosomal RNA (579 nucleotides) under uncultured bacterium. RNAcentral describes it as "bacterial SSU rRNA". It matches the Rfam family "Bacterial small subunit ribosomal RNA", at positions 338 to 916 of the family's 1533-position model. The record is from RNAcentral.